This is a long non-coding RNA of Saccostrea echinata, 394 nucleotides long. RefSeq lists it as uncharacterized. NCBI's taxonomy places the organism in Eukaryota, Metazoa, Mollusca, Bivalvia, Ostreida, Ostreidae. The record is from RefSeq and is a predicted model, not a curated record. The transcript is spliced from 3 exons.
UUCAGAAAAUAAAUGCAUGUCCAGAGCCUCGUACGUUUGCAAACUUUGUUGACAAGUGUCCCUCACAUAAAGAAGAAUGGAAUAGAGCAUCAAAGAUAAAGAGCUGUGAAUCGGUGUCAAGGAAUUGUACAAGAAAAUACGCUUAUCACUGUCUAAAGGAUGAGUGGUUAGAUAAAAUGUACGAGGUCUGUGCGCCGCCAGUUGUAAUUAUCGGUUGCUGCCCCGAAUACAACACAGCUGGUGGUGUAAUACAGGGAAAUUUUCUAAUUGAUUGCACGAGGUUUGAUUUUCCGUGUCUAAAGGUUUAUAACUCCACAGAUAUUUACAAAUAUCAGAAAUGCUAUGGAAUAACCACGACCAUAUUGGUUGAAGAAAUUUUGUCCAAUGAUGAAGA